UUCAGCCAGGAGAGCGCUGAAGGGAUCUGAGCUGAGAGCAAGUCUCAAACUCAGAGAAUGGAGGAGCUGCCCCGGAAGUGGCUGCUCGAGGCUGCAGUGAACUAUGAUCCUGCGGCCAAUCGCGGUGGCUCACGCCUGUAAUCCCAGCCUUCUGGGAGGCCGAGGCGGGCGGAUCGCUUGAGGUCAGAAGUUCGACACUAGCUUGGCCAACAUGGUAAAACACCGUCUCUACAAAAAAAUGCAAAAAUUAGUUGGGUGUGGUGGCGCGCGCCUGUGGUCCCAGCUACUCAGGAGGCUGAGGUGGGAGGAACGCUUGAGCGGGGGAGGCGGAAGUUACAGUGAGUCGAGAUCGCCCCACUGCACUCCAGCCUGGACAACAGAAUGAGACCCUGUCUAAAAAUAAAAUACAUGAGCCGA
This 417-nucleotide long non-coding RNA is filed under the name Homo sapiens (human). RNAcentral's name for it is "novel transcript". Lineage: Eukaryota; Metazoa; Chordata; Mammalia; Primates; Hominidae. The record is from RNAcentral.